CGUAAUUUCUAUUUUAAAAGGCAUAUAUAGAAAUAAAUAGAAAAGCUGCUGAGUCUAUGGUAAAAUUUUAUACCUGCUUCCCAGUAAUGAUGGAUGGAAAUCAACUCUCAAUAAGUAUGGCUCCUGAAAACAUGAAUAUAAAAGAUGAGGAAACUAUAUUUAUAACCUUGGUAAAAGAAAAUGACCCAGAGGCAAACAUAGAUACAAUUUAUGAUCGAUUUGUACAUCUUGAUAAUUUACCGGAAGAUGGACUUCAGUGUGUACUUUGUGUUGGACUUCAGUUUGGAAAAGUGGAUCACCAUGUAUUCAUAAGUAAUAGAAACAAGGCAAUUCUUCAGUUAGAUAGUCCUGAAUCUGCUCAGUCAAUGUACAGCUUUCUGAAACAAAAUCCACAAAACAUUGGUGACCAUAUGUUGACCUGCUCAUUAUCUCCAAAGAUAGACUUACCAGAGGUGCAAAUUGAGCAUGACCCAGAAUUAGAAAAAGAAAGACUUUGGCUGAGCAAAACACUAAGAAUCCUAAAAGCACUACUGGUAGAAGUUCCAAAUCUAAAGAGGAGCCAUUAUUUCCAUUUAAUUUGGAUGAAUUUGUUACUGUGGAUGAGGUUAUAGAAGAAGUGAAUCCUUCUCAGGCCAAGCAGAAUCCACUGAAGGGAAAAAGGAAAGAAACUCUCAAAAAUGUUCCUUUCUCUGAACUUAACUUA
This 703-nucleotide small RNA is filed under the name Pongo abelii (Sumatran orangutan). RNAcentral's name for it is "retained intron". The record is from RNAcentral. Lineage: Eukaryota; Metazoa; Chordata; Mammalia; Primates; Hominidae.